RNAcentral lists this ribosomal RNA (257 nucleotides) under uncultured Scutellospora. RNAcentral describes it as "partial 18S ribosomal RNA". It matches the Rfam family "Eukaryotic small subunit ribosomal RNA", at positions 624 to 886 of the family's 1831-position model. The record is from RNAcentral. Lineage: Eukaryota; Fungi; Glomeromycota; Glomeromycetes; Diversisporales; Gigasporaceae.
AAGCUCGUAGUUGAAUUUCGGGGUUCUACCGUUGGUCGGGCUAACAAGUCUGUACUAGCGUGUAGAAUCUCUACCUUCUGGGGAACCACCAUGUUAUUAAUUUAGCGUGGUGGGAAACCAGGACCUUUACCUUGAAAAAAUUAGAGUGUUCAAAGCAGGCUUACGUCUGAAUACAUUAGCAUGGAAUAAUAAAAUAGGACGGUGGUCCUGUUUUGUUGGUUUCUGAAUCACCGUAAUGAUUAAUAGGGAUAGUUGGG